GGGAAGGUGGCUCAGUGGUAUAGCGCUUGCCUUGCAUGCAUGAAGCCCUGGGUUCGAUUCCUCAGCUCCA
RNAcentral lists this transfer RNA (70 nucleotides) under Dipodomys ordii (Ord's kangaroo rat). It matches the Rfam family "tRNA". Rfam says of the family: Transfer RNA (tRNA) molecules are approximately 80 nucleotides in length. The record is from Rfam by way of RNAcentral. Lineage: Eukaryota; Metazoa; Chordata; Mammalia; Rodentia; Heteromyidae.